This 532-nucleotide ribosomal RNA is filed under the name uncultured bacterium. Its description in RNAcentral is "bacterial SSU rRNA". It matches the Rfam family "Bacterial small subunit ribosomal RNA", at positions 972 to 1501 of the family's 1533-position model. The record is from RNAcentral.
UACCGGGGCUUGACAUCCUCUGACAGCCCAUGAAAGUGGGAUUUCCUCUUUUUGGGGGACAGGGAGACAGGUGGUGCAUGGUUGUCGUCAGCUCGUGUCGUGAGAUGUUGGGUUAAGUCCCGCAACGAGCGCAACCCCUACUUUUAGUUGCCAGCAUUAGGUUGGGCACUCUAGAGGGACUGCCGGUGACAAACCGGAGGAAGGUGGGGAUGACGUCAAAUCAUCAUGCCCCUUAUGUCCCGGGCUACACACGUGCUACAAUGGCCUGUACAGAGGGCGGCGAAGCCGUGAGGCGGAGCAAAUCCCAAAAAGCAGGUCACAGUUCGGAUUGCAGGCUGCAACUCGCCUGCAUGAAGUCGGAAUCGCUAGUAAUCGCAGGUCAGCAUACUGCGGUGAAUACGUUCCCGGGCCUUGUACACACCGCCCGUCACACCACGAAAGCCUGCAACACCCGAAGCCGGUGACUUAACCGCAAGGAGAGAGCCGUCGAAGGUGGGGCCGGUGAUUGGGGUGAAGUCGUAACAAGGUAACC